GGGGAGGCGGCUCAGUGGUUAAGAGCGCUGGCUGCUCUUCCAGAGGACCUGGGUUCAACUCCCAGCAACCACA
This 73-nucleotide transfer RNA is filed under the name Rattus norvegicus (Norway rat). It matches the Rfam family "tRNA". From Rfam's summary of the family: Transfer RNA (tRNA) molecules are approximately 80 nucleotides in length. Their secondary structure includes four short double-helical elements and three loops (D, anti-codon, and T loops). The record is from Rfam by way of RNAcentral. Lineage: Eukaryota; Metazoa; Chordata; Mammalia; Rodentia; Muridae.